Molecule: transfer RNA, 75 nt
Filed under: Triparma laevis
Lineage: Eukaryota; Bolidophyceae; Parmales; Triparmaceae
Description: tRNA-Met
Rfam family: tRNA
About the family: Transfer RNA (tRNA) molecules are approximately 80 nucleotides in length. Their secondary structure includes four short double-helical elements and three loops (D, anti-codon, and T loops).
Source: RNAcentral
GGCGAGGUAGAGCAGUCUGGUCAGCUCGUUAGGCUCAUGCCCUGAAAGUCGUUGGUUCGAAUCCAACCUUCGUUA